Molecule: unclassified non-coding RNA, 387 nt
Filed under: uncultured bacterium
Lineage: Bacteria
Description: contains 16S-23S intergenic spacer region
Source: RNAcentral
UCCUGGUUUCCCAGGCAGUCCCAUCAGAGUGCCUUACCCGAAGGUAAGUUGCAACUGAUAGUAGGGGUUGCGCUCGUUAAAGGACUUAACCCAACAUCUCACGACACGAGCUGACGGCAGCCAUGCAGCACCUGUGUACCUGUCUGAAACAAGUUCAGAAAACUGUAUUUCUACAGCGGGCAAGUACAUGUCAAGCCCAGGUAAGGUUCCUCGCGUACCGUCGAAUUAAACCACAUGUUCCACCGCUUGUGCGGACCCCCGUCAAUUCCUUUAAGUUUAAGUCUUGCGACCGUACUCCCCAGGCGAAUCACUUAUCGCGUUAGCUUCGACACCAAUCGAGCAAAGCUCAACUGACGUCUAGUGAUUAUCGUUUACGGCGUGGACUAC